This 26-nucleotide non-coding RNA is filed under the name Homo sapiens (human). The record is from RNAcentral. Lineage: Eukaryota; Metazoa; Chordata; Mammalia; Primates; Hominidae.
UGUCCUGUGAGCUCUCUGCCAGUGUC